This 87-nucleotide transfer RNA is filed under the name Thelephora ganbajun. RNAcentral's name for it is "tRNA-Ala". The record is from RNAcentral. Lineage: Eukaryota; Fungi; Basidiomycota; Agaricomycetes; Thelephorales; Thelephoraceae.
GGGCACGUGGUGUAGUUGGUUAUCACGCUCGCUUAGCACUUGUGAAGAGCUUGCGAGAGGGGUCCGGUUCAAUCCCGGACGUGUCCA